UUGAACCUAUUAUCUUGCAUUCAGAAUGAGAGCCUUUCCAAUGGCGUAAUUAACUUAUAAGAUUUUUUAUUUUCGAUUUUUCAUUUCCUGUAUAUGUGUGUGAAGUUGAACUUGGUCUGAUGUGUUUUAAUACCACAGCUCGUGGACGGCUACUGCAAAAUUCUUUUGAUACAUCAGCAACAAUGCGCCAUCAAGAAUGGUGAUUGUACGAGCAAUAACCGUAAAAUAUACGGAGUGUCCUUUAUAGUGGUUUUAUAUCUUCUUUUUCGCAUAAUUUUUGAUGUGUUCUUGUUAGAAUUCAUAGUGAUUUUCGAUGUUUAUAUAGUUGUGUAUAUAAAGUGGUUUUCAUGUUUAUAUAGUUGUUUUAUACAGAGUGGUUUUCAUGUUUAUAUAGCUGUUUAUACGGAGUGGUUUUCAUAAUGUCAGGCUUUGUCUUUGAUAAUUUAUAGUGGUUUUCAA
RNAcentral lists this long non-coding RNA (459 nucleotides) under Erythranthe guttata (spotted monkey flower). RNAcentral describes it as "long non-coding RNA (EGUT_LNC002698)". The record is from RNAcentral. Lineage: Eukaryota; Viridiplantae; Streptophyta; Magnoliopsida; Lamiales; Phrymaceae.